UUGAAAGCUAUAUUUGCACAAUAUUGUUUUGUGUCUUCCAGAAUGGACACCUUCCCGAAGUGUUCUGUCUGUCAGCAGCAGUUUACCCUGAAAGGCCCCGCCCCCUACCUACUGCCCUGUCUACACGCUGUGUGUGAGAUGUGUGUGACAUCUGCAGCUGGUGGUGUGAUAUCAUGCUCUACUUGUCAGAGGGAGGUCAACCUCACGGAAGCAAGUCUCCAGAAGGAUGAAGUUAGGCAACAAGAAAUAUUCCACCUGGCAAUCAAACAUUGUCCCACAAAGCUUCUCUGUACACAUGAAGAUGACGGAAACCAGGCUGUGUGUUGGUGUCAAGAGUGUGAAGAGUUACUCUGUGAAUAUUGCCAGAACAUGCACAGCAGCUUCAGACUCUCAAGGAAUCACUCCGUGUACAACUUUGUGGAUAUUGCCCCUCAAAAUCUAGUGCGUGAAACAAAUUGCAGAAUACACAAUCGUUAUCCUCUUGAUUUGUUUGACAAAAGCUGCAACACAUCUAUCUGUAGCCGAUGUUUGAGAGGAGAGCAUGCUGGUCACGAGGUGGAAGAUCUGGAUGAGGCAGCUUUAGGAGGUAAACAACGGAUUGAACAACACGUCAAAGAUCUAUCCUCGCUACUGACCGAUCAGCAAACACAUCUUCAGAGUAUCAGACAAGACAGAAAGUUUACAGACAGCACACAGAACACACUGAAGGGUACUAUCGCACUGACGUUCCAGUCUUUACGGUCUCAACUUGACCAGAGGGAGAAAGAACUCCUGAUUGAUCUUGAAAGUCAGACAAAGGAAACCAAGGAAACUCUACAUGCUCUUCAAACCUCAUGUGAAACCGAACAUGUCAGAUGUAACGAUGUUGCAGGAUACAUUAGGAAGAGUCUUCUCUAUGCCUCAAAGUCGGCACUCCUGAAGCUUGAGAGUUCUGUUGAUAGGGUAACUCGAACCUACCUAGAAACUGCUUCACCUCAAACAUAUGACGUUGCAACAGCUGUCUUCAACACCAACGGUCUGUCCAAACUGAAGUCAGAUAUGUCUGGAUUUGGUACCAUCAGUGCUUUGAAAGAGGAAACAACAAGAGACAGGACUGAUGACAAGGAAACACAGACCGAUGACAUUUUUGCGACCCUGAAACAGAAACACGAAAUGGAGCUUGCAGAACUGAAAUCGAAUUUUGCUUCAGACAAAGAAAGACUUCAGCAGCUCACUGACCAGUUGAAUGCUGAAUCUGACAACAUGAAACUGAUGCUAGCUGAGAAAGACAGAAGCUUACAAGCCGCUUCAGAAACCAUCCUGAAUACAUAAGAAGACCCGUGGGAAUGCGAGUCGAUGUGUAUACUACUGGAAUAAUUCACUACAGUGUGUGUCCACCAUACUGAUUCUAGGCUUGACGUUAACGUUGCUCCAUUUCAUCCCAAGCGUGCUCGAUAGGGGUCAGGUCCGGAGAAACAGAUGGACAGGGGAGUGUCGGAAGGUUCUGCUGUCACAAAACAUGUGGACGGGCAUUAUGGUGCUGCAGCGUGAAGUUACGUCCCUGAAUGGACGCUUGUAAAGUGAUCUCAGAACUGUCUGGCAGACCUGUUAGAUUGCAAUUGACAAUGACAAGUUGUGUCCGACCAUGAGAUGCGAUGACUCCCCAUACCAUAAUACCGUCACCACCACCACCACCACCACCGGACAUUGAACAACGGACGCGUCAGCUGUACACCCUUGUCCUGAAAUUUCGACUGAUCAGGGGACAAUUCACCAUCCCAAUCUUGUUUCUUGUACCGGAGAUGCUGUCUGCGCCAGACAAGAUGUGCCUGUCGGUGACGUUGGAGCAAAACUGGACGCAUUGCAGGCUGUCAGUGCCGCAUAUUGUGCUCCCUCAGUCGGUUCCGUACAGUCCUGGAACGGAUAAGCCAGGAAUGGUCCGAGUAGUCUGGAAACGAUUCAUUAAAUGGGUCAUCCGAAUGUGGUUGUCUUGCUGACGUGACGUCACGCGUGGACGACAAAUCUCUCGUGUUCCCAUUAUCUCCAUAGACAUGAGUGUUUUGAUGGACUCCAAAAUGUCUGACCACUUCAUUUUGGGCCUUUUGCAGUCUUCAGCACACCCACGGUGUAGAGACGCUGAUUUUCUGUUACCCUAAAGGCUGCGUUCAUGUCUUGAAGACGGAUGUGCCAGACAGACACAUGGUCCUGCAUUAUACACCACUGAAGCAUGACAAAGACAGAGUCAAUCUCGACAAAGUCCACAUCAACACAGAAGGAGACCUGGUCAACAGGAGUCGGACACCAGACCUGCAGGGGAGGGGAGACUGAAGAAG
Molecule: unclassified non-coding RNA, 2312 nt
Filed under: Haliotis rubra (blacklip abalone)
Lineage: Eukaryota; Metazoa; Mollusca; Gastropoda; Lepetellida; Haliotidae
Description: transcription intermediary factor 1-beta-like, transcript variant X1
Source: RNAcentral